UGUGUUUCCUAAGAUAGUGCAGGAG
RNAcentral lists this unclassified non-coding RNA (25 nucleotides) under Mus musculus (house mouse). Its description in RNAcentral is "oocyte_clustered_small_RNA9424". Lineage: Eukaryota; Metazoa; Chordata; Mammalia; Rodentia; Muridae. The record is from RNAcentral.